GUCUAUGUGGAGCAACCACUAGGGCUUGUUGCUCAGGAGAGUCUGGCUUAGUAUGUCGACUACGACGAUCAUUAUAUGGCCUGAAGCAAUCUCUAAGAGCAUAGUUUGGACGAUUUAGUACUAUAAUCCAAUAAUUUGGAAUUUCUCAAAAUGAAGCUGAUCAUUCAGUGUUUUUUCGUCAUAAUGGCCAUAAUAGAUGCAUUUAUUUGGUGGUUUAUGUUGAUGACAUUGUUAUU
This 236-nucleotide unclassified non-coding RNA is filed under the name Hevea brasiliensis (rubber tree). Lineage: Eukaryota; Viridiplantae; Streptophyta; Magnoliopsida; Malpighiales; Euphorbiaceae. The record is from RNAcentral.